GACGAACGCUGGCGGCGUGCCUAAUACAUGCAAGUUGAGCGCUGAAGGUUGGUACUUGUACCAACUGGAUGAGCAGCGAACGGGUGAGUAACGCGUGGGGAAUCUGCCUUUGAGCGGGGGACAACAUUUGGAAACGAAUGCUAAUACCGCAUAAAAACUUUAAACACAAGUUUUAAGUUUGAAAGAUGCAAUUGCAUCACUCAAAGAUGAUCCCGCGUUGUAUUAGCUAGUUGGUGAGGUAAAGGCUCACCAAGGCGAUGAUACAUAGCCGACCUGAGAGGGUGAUCGGCCACAUUGGGACUGAGACACGGCCCAAACUCCUACGGGAGGCAGCAGUAGGGAAUCUUCGGCAAUAGACGAAAGUCUGACCGAGCAACGCCGCGUGAGGGAAGAAGGUUUUCGGAUCGUAAAACUCUGUUGGUAGAGAAGAACGUUGGUGAGAGUGGAAAGCUCAUCAAGUGACGGUAACUACCCAGAAAGGGACGGCUAACUACGUG
RNAcentral lists this ribosomal RNA (497 nucleotides) under uncultured bacterium. RNAcentral describes it as "partial 16S ribosomal RNA". It matches the Rfam family "Bacterial small subunit ribosomal RNA", at positions 28 to 507 of the family's 1533-position model. The record is from RNAcentral.